Long non-coding RNA from Melanotaenia boesemani (Boeseman's rainbowfish), 527 nucleotides. RefSeq lists it as uncharacterized. The record is from RefSeq and is a predicted model, not a curated record. The transcript is spliced from 2 exons. Lineage: Eukaryota; Metazoa; Chordata; Actinopteri; Atheriniformes; Melanotaeniidae.
CUCAGCCAUGGGUCCCAGCUCUCUGGCUCUGCCAUUCCCUCAUUAGCUCAACCACUUCCACCUGCUGGUGCCACCUGCCAAUUACCAAUCAGUGUCUCUAUAUAACCUGUCCUGUUUCACUCCAUAGUUGCCAGAUGGUCUUUGCUCCCAUGCCUGACUCUCCAGGGGUUAUCUCCAGACUGAUCCCCUGUUGCUGACUCUGCCUGCUCCUGACCACUGCCUUUCAGCACAGCCCUGUCCUGAAUCUGUCUGAAGCCGUCUCUGAAUUCCCGGCACCAGCCCUGCCUGUUUCUGACCUUGCAUUUCGUCUAAGCCCUGUUUUAUCUCUGGAUCAACCAAAAUCGCAUCUGGAAGGACAAGCAUUUGCAUUCAGAGUCCAGCCCAGAGGAAAACCUGUUUACCUGGCAAGCGGGAGACUGGGGGUCGAUACCAACCUGUACCCACAGCAGUUGCAAACUGGUCAGGUUGCUCAACCUGACCUUACCCAUUAAUAAAUCAAGACAUUAAUAAAGCUUGUUCUUCCUUCA